RNAcentral lists this long non-coding RNA (713 nucleotides) under Corvus moneduloides (New Caledonian crow). Its description in RNAcentral is "lncRNA (ENSCMUG00000019387.1)". The record is from RNAcentral. Lineage: Eukaryota; Metazoa; Chordata; Aves; Passeriformes; Corvidae.
AUUCACUGUAAUCACUCCUGCCAGGCAGCACUGCUGUGCUAUUCUGUGAUUUCACAGGCAUUAUAGCAAUGGAAGCGCUGUCACCUAGACAAAAUUUUUCCCAGUGAUGCUUUGGAAGGCAAAGAAAAUGAUGGGCUGCUUCUGAUAGAUGAUAUAACUGGAGGCGGAGGUGGAAAUAUACUGGAAAACCAUUUUCGUCAUCAAGGAAAGCUUAACUGUACCAGAGCAAUCCCAAAGUGAUGUGAACCAAUGCUACCUACCAGCAAUACUAAAAUCAGGUUUCACAUAGUCCUCCACAGGCAGAAGCUGACUUGUCUGUCUUCCUCCUGGAACACAACACCACUCUGGGACCAGAAGGCUGAGCAGAGGCAAUGCCAGAAGCAGGGAGAGUCAGAGGCCCCACCUUUGGAUGUUUUCAAAACCUGAGUGACCAAGACUUGAGAUAGCCCAGUCAAACUAGGAAGUUAGCCCUGACUAGAGCAGUGGACUGAAGAAGGUGCCUCCAGAGGUCCUUUCCACCAUAAAGCUGCCUUCACUUCCUUUUUCUUUAGCCCCUGAGAAGUGCAAAGGUCUGAGCAUAACAAUAUUAUCUCUUAUGGUUCUCUGCAUACUUCUGUGUCACCUUCUAUUCAUGCUGAGAAUAAUAUCUGCAAAGGACUACUUGAACAACAUACAGGAAGAUCUCCCUAGACACAGGAAUGGUUUUCUUUCUU